This 341-nucleotide long non-coding RNA is filed under the name Mytilus galloprovincialis (Mediterranean mussel). Lineage: Eukaryota; Metazoa; Mollusca; Bivalvia; Mytilida; Mytilidae. The record is from RNAcentral.
AAAUCGAAACCGAAACCGAAUAAGGAAAUGAAAAUCGAAAAAGGAAAAAGAAAACGAAUAAGGAAACGAAAAAAAGUCUUCUGAAAAAAAAUUUGAGAAAAAAAAAAUUUUGAAAGAAAAAAAUAUUCAGUUUGGAAUUGUAAUAUUUUUUUAAAAUUUGAAUAUCGAAAAAGGAAAUGGAAACUGAAUAAGGAAAUAGAAACCGAAUAAGGAAAUGAAAAUCGAAUAAGGAAAAAGAAACCGAAUAAGGAAUGAUAAUCGAAAAUGGAAAAAGAAAACGAAUAAGGAAACGAAAAAAAAUUUUGAAGAAAACUUUUCGAGGAAAAAUAUUUUGAGGGAAA